CGUAGGGUUUCUUCGAAUCCGAGAUCUAUGGUUCCUUCCUUCCUUGCUCCCUCUUUGUUCUUCUCCUUGGCGGUCUCGGUUUCACCAGGGGAGGGGAAGAUGUCGUUUGGGUUGCCGGCGUACGGCCUCCAGGAGAUGCUGAAGGAAGGGCACGAGCACCUCCCGGGGCUCGACGAGGCCGUCCUCAGGAACAUCGACGCCUGAAAGUAGCUUUCCUACAUCGCCUGCACCUCCCUCGGUCCCAACGGUAAGAACAAAACAAGUGAUGCUGCCACAAUAGCGGAUGAGCUUGAGGUCCAGCAUCCUGUUGCAAAGAUUUUGGUGCUAUCAGGAAAGGCCCAGCAGGAGGAGAUUGGUGAUCGGGCCGCACCCUAGUGAAAUAAUAAGUGGUUAUACGAAAGCAAUUAAUAAGAUAUAGUCUUUGAAUAUGCUGCUGAUGUUGCCUGUACUCUUCUCUGGGUUAAUCAACUGAGUCACAUUUCAAUCUCAUGGUUCCUUCUGAAUUCACUCGUUGCGCAUCAAUCAUAAAGGCCAAGUCAGCAGGUGGGCCAAAAAGAGAUCAACCGACUAGCAUGGAUGAGGUUUAACUUCUUGGAUUUUUUAAGAGCAUUGUUACUGACAAUGCUGCAGCUAAAAGAGUUGUAUCUGUUUUUAGCCAUGCAACGGAUAUCUGAGCAAGUUCAGCUACAGAAGCCAGUGGCUUUGUGGCACUAGUAAUUGCUUUCGAGGGAAGAUUUGCAGUUCUCUGAAUCUGGUGCACUGGUUUUGAACAUCAGAACAUUUCAUUGUUCUCAAUCAGAAGGUUUCAUGCACGAGUUUCCUGAAUUGUUCAUACGAUGUAAUCGUGCCAGCUUAGGGUUGCGACACCGUAUUGUGCUGGCUGUCAUCAGUAUCAAAAUAUCAUUCUUAGCAAUGUUGUAUUAGUAAAAUAAAAUUAGGGUUUUUUGUUUGCAACUAUGUAGGAUAAAUCAUAGUGUUCUUUGUAUUGUAGGUUUGACAGUUUUGAAAAUUUUGAAGUAA
This is a long non-coding RNA of Musa acuminata subsp. malaccensis (wild Malaysian banana), 1020 nucleotides long. RefSeq lists it as uncharacterized. The record is from RefSeq and is a predicted model, not a curated record. Lineage: Eukaryota; Viridiplantae; Streptophyta; Magnoliopsida; Zingiberales; Musaceae.